CACACACAUUCAGACGUCCUCUGCAGCAAGAAACCAGAGGUUCUUCUCCUUUUUUUUUUUGAAACCAGAGGUUCUUGAGUCACAAAGUCAGAGCAUGAACAAAUCUUGCAUUACUCAGCCCCCACAAGGCAGCUGUGUCCGCUUUAAAAUCCCUGAGAGCAUCAUCAGAGCCCUGGCCACUGUCACCGCUGCCAGCCUGAGCUAGGCUCCCUCAUUUCCCA
Phyllostomus discolor (pale spear-nosed bat) is the source of this 221-nucleotide long non-coding RNA. RefSeq lists it as uncharacterized. The transcript is spliced from 3 exons. The record is from RefSeq and is a predicted model, not a curated record. NCBI's taxonomy places the organism in Eukaryota, Metazoa, Chordata, Mammalia, Chiroptera, Phyllostomidae.